CCUACCAUACCCCUGUGUCUACACAUGCCGUCUUACAUAAAUAAUAAUUUGUUUUUCUUAAACAUGAGGAUAUGUAUUCAAUCAUCACUUAUCCAUGUAAAAAUUGUUUCCAAGAUUUUCUCUCUUGCGAUCGUUAUUUUUCCCAUUUCUUUUGAUUUUUCCAGAUAAUCAUCUCUCAUGCUUUUUUUUUUUUCUUCAGAUUCAUCUCUUUUGCAUUUUUGAAGUGCUUCUUCAUCAAUUCUGAGCAGAGCCUCAAGUUCAUCUCUUUCUCUCAGUUUGAUUGAAGAUAAUAAGUCAUGAUCUUGAUACCGGGUGCGAGUUUUAGUUGUAUUUUAUCACCAGCUUUUCACAGAUUUGCUUUGUCUCAACCCCGUUUGAUUAUUGACCGGAAACUUAUUUCACCAUAAAUUCAAUCUUAACCUCUCUUUAUGAGCUGUUAUCAUGGCGUAUUGGGUAAAGUAUCUCUGAUAAAAGAUGGUAAGGUUUGAUGGAUUUCUGGAGUUAUCCUUGAAGAUGAUUCAGCAGAGUUGGCGAUUUAUGAAAGUUGGUCUAACAAAUAGUCGUUCUUUAACUUGACUCAACUUCCUCAGGUUGUAAUUUAUGAUGAAAUAUAGAUGCUCCGUUCAAGAAGUCUGAUGGUGAAAGACAUCCCUAUACAGUAAGUACAAAAUCAAAUUAAAGAAGCUUCACUGUGGUUUCAAAAGCUUUACCGGUGGUGGUGGAGAUGAGAUGAUGACGUCAUGCAACCACCGCUAAUUCAAGAAGUUUCAUGAAUGACCAAUACGUAUUUUCUCUGAUUUGUUUUAAUUUUGUUUAGAUUGUAACAUGUGUAUGGUUUGAGCUUAAUGUUUGUACUUCUGUUUCUUAGCCAAAAAGGUUUAGAAAACUAAAAUCAAGCCUAUUUGAUUUUCAUUAGAAAAUAAUUAUUUUAAUGUCAC
RNAcentral lists this long non-coding RNA (938 nucleotides) under Brassica napus (rape). RNAcentral describes it as "long non-coding RNA (BNAP_LNC019317)". The record is from RNAcentral. Lineage: Eukaryota; Viridiplantae; Streptophyta; Magnoliopsida; Brassicales; Brassicaceae.